UGUAGACACUCGUAUUUCUGUUGAGCUGAGGGACAGGACUUAACAAGUACAAAACUAAAUCUUUUGCCACCCAGAGCUUAUUGUUCAGUAUGAAUUUUGAAACAUGUGAGGAGCAUAAUA
This is a small nucleolar RNA of Mus caroli (Ryukyu mouse), 120 nucleotides long. RefSeq annotates it as small nucleolar RNA SNORA40. NCBI's taxonomy places the organism in Eukaryota, Metazoa, Chordata, Mammalia, Rodentia, Muridae. The record is from RefSeq and is a predicted model, not a curated record.